This 72-nucleotide transfer RNA is filed under the name Nitzschia inconspicua. It matches the Rfam family "tRNA". From Rfam's summary of the family: Transfer RNA (tRNA) molecules are approximately 80 nucleotides in length. Lineage: Eukaryota; Bacillariophyta; Bacillariophyceae; Bacillariales; Bacillariaceae. The record is from Rfam by way of RNAcentral.
GGGUUGCUAACUCAAUGGUAGAGUACUCGGCUUUUAACCGAGCUGUUCUGGGUUCGAGUCCCAGGCAACCCA